CCUACGGGUGGCUGCAGUGAGGAAUAUUGGUCAAUGGACGAGAGUCUGAACCAGCCAAGUCGCGUGAAGGAUGACUGCCCUAUGGGUUGUAAACUUCUUUUAUAUGGGAGUAAAACAGGGUCUGCAUACUCUCUUGUAUGUACCAUAUGAAUAAGGAUCGGUCAACUCCGUGCAAGGAGCCGCGGUAAUACGGAGGGGCCGAGCGGUAACCGGAUUUAUUGGGUUUAAGGGGGGCGUAGGUGGGUUGUUAAGUCAGGUGUGAAAGUUUGAGGGUCAACCCUAAAAUAGCAGUUGAAACUGGCAGUCUAGAGUACACGAGAGGUAGGCGGAAUUCGUGGUGUAGCGGUGAAAUGCUUAGAUAUCACGAAGAACACCGAUUGCGAAGGCAGCUCACUGG
RNAcentral lists this ribosomal RNA (397 nucleotides) under uncultured bacterium. RNAcentral's name for it is "partial 16S ribosomal RNA". It matches the Rfam family "Bacterial small subunit ribosomal RNA", at positions 338 to 732 of the family's 1533-position model. The record is from RNAcentral.